Long non-coding RNA from Sinocyclocheilus anshuiensis, 738 nucleotides. RefSeq lists it as uncharacterized. Lineage: Eukaryota; Metazoa; Chordata; Actinopteri; Cypriniformes; Cyprinidae. The record is from RefSeq and is a predicted model, not a curated record. The transcript has 3 exons.
AGUCAGUACUGCACACAGGACUACUGCGGGGACCGUCCACUUCACAUUACAGGAUUUUAACUAACUAAAGAAAGAGUGAAAACAACAUUAAGUCAUAAGAGCGAAGGUGCUUAUGGUGUUAUGUUCGUAGUGCACAUCUGUACCAAUGUAUUUUGGUGAGUCGUCUGGCGCUUCCGCUUUUUUCCGUCCAGCAGUUUGACGCCAAAAUUCAGCAGGAGUCAAUAGGAAUUUUUGAUACACCGUAAACUAUUUCACUGGACACUGAAAGGGAAAAAAAGGGAUAUCAAUUAUUUAUUGUUCGUGUGAGUGAGUCCUACUCAUCCUAAGGCUGAUGUCCUCCAAGAGCAGCGUCUGAAACAUGGACGACCCUUUAAAGGUUGACUGAUUCCAGCUGACACCUUCAUAACUAUGCUGCGAGUCUCGCAAGGCCCGAUGGCCACACUAGCCACCAACAACCCGCCUAAUUCCCCAACCCAAUUCAGGGAAUGAUCAAACCAUCCUGUCUAGGACAUACACAUCAAGAGACCUCUUACAUACAGUCAAAUUACUUGAAAUUACAACUCAAAACUUCUGCAGGACGGCAGAUACCCCAAAUCCAAUGGCAUGGGCCAAGUUCUUCAGGAGACCAGGAGGCAAUCUUUCCAGGUCUUACCAGCCAGGAUCUAUGCUAUCCUUGGCCCCUACCAAGGGACUACUAAAUGAGCCGGGACAGAACAGCUGCUUCCUCAACAGUGCAGU